AGUGAACGCUGGCGGUAGGCCUAACACAUGCAAGUCGAACGGCAGCACAGUAAGAGCUUGCCCUUACGGGUGGCGAGUGGCGGACGGGUGAGGAAUACAUCGGAAUCUACUUUUUCGUGGGGGAUAACGUAGGGAAACUUACGCUAAUACCGCAUACGACCUACGGGUGAAAGCAGGGGAUCUUCGGACUUUGCGCGAUUGAAUGAGCCGAUGUCGGAUUAGCUAGUUGGCGGGGUAAAGGCCCACCAAGGCGACGAUCCGUAGCUGGUCUGAGAGGAUGAUCAGCCACACUGGAACUGAGACACGGUCCAGACUCCUACGGGAGGCAGCAGUGGGGAAUAUUGGACAAUGGGCGCAAGCCUGAUCCAGCCAUACCGCGUGGGUGAAGAAGGCCUUCGGGUUGUAAAGCCCUUUUGUUGGGAAAGAAAAGCAGCAGGUUAAUACCCCGCUGUUCUGACGGUACCCAAAGAAUAAGCACCGGCUAACUUCGUG
Molecule: ribosomal RNA, 492 nt
Filed under: uncultured bacterium
Lineage: Bacteria
Description: partial 16S ribosomal RNA
Rfam family: Bacterial small subunit ribosomal RNA
Source: RNAcentral